UACGUAGGGGGCUAGCGUUGUCCGGAAUCAUUGGGCGUAAAGCGCGCGUAGGCGGCCCGGUAAGUCCGCUGUGAAAGUCCAGGGCUCAACCCUGGAAAGCCGGUGGAUACUGCCGGGCUAGAGUCCGGGAGAGGCGAGUGGAAUUCCAGGUGUAGCGGUGAAAUGCGUAGAUAUCUGGAGGAACACCGGUGGCGAAGGCGGCAUCCUGGACCGGUAUUGACGCUGAGGCGCGAAAGCCAGGGGAGCAAACGGG
RNAcentral lists this ribosomal RNA (253 nucleotides) under uncultured bacterium. Its description in RNAcentral is "partial 16S ribosomal RNA". It matches the Rfam family "Bacterial small subunit ribosomal RNA", at positions 524 to 776 of the family's 1533-position model. The record is from RNAcentral.